RNAcentral lists this transfer RNA (83 nucleotides) under Chloroflexota bacterium. RNAcentral describes it as "tRNA-Leu". It matches the Rfam family "tRNA". From Rfam's summary of the family: Transfer RNA (tRNA) molecules are approximately 80 nucleotides in length. Their secondary structure includes four short double-helical elements and three loops (D, anti-codon, and T loops). Further hydrogen bonds mediate the characteristic L-shaped molecular structure. tRNAs have two regions of fundamental functional importance: the anti-codon, which is responsible for specific mRNA codon recognition, and the 3' end, to which the tRNAs corresponding amino acid is attached (by aminoacyl-tRNA synthetases). tRNAs cope with the degeneracy of the genetic code in two manners: having more than one tRNA (with a specific anti-codon) for a particular amino acid; and 'wobble' base-pairing, i.e. permitting non-standard base-pairing at the 3rd anti-codon position. Lineage: Bacteria; Bacillati; Chloroflexota. The record is from RNAcentral.
GCCGAAGUGGUGAAAUGGUAGACACGCAACGUUCAGGGCGUUGUGCCUUAAUUGGCAUGGGGGUUCGAGUCCCCCCUUCGGCA